This 422-nucleotide ribosomal RNA is filed under the name uncultured bacterium. Its description in RNAcentral is "bacterial SSU rRNA". It matches the Rfam family "Bacterial small subunit ribosomal RNA", at positions 355 to 775 of the family's 1533-position model. The record is from RNAcentral.
UGAGGAAUAUUGGUCAAUGGGCGCAAGCCUGAACCAGCCAUCCCGCGUGCAGGAAGACGGCCCUAUGGGUUGUAAACUGCUUUUCCAGGGGGAGAAUUUUUCUGUCGUGACAGGAAUUGACGGUACCCUGGGAACAAGCAUCGGCUAACUCCGUGCCAGCAGCCGCGGUAAUACGGAGGAUGCGAGCGUUAUCCGGAUUUAUUGGGUUUAAAGGUGCGUAGGCGGAUUGAUAAGUCAGUGGUGAAAACCUGCAGUUUAACUGUAGACUUGCCGUUGAUACUGUCAGUCUUGAGUGUGGUCAAGGUAGGCGGAAUGUGUAAUGUAGCGGUGAAAUGCUUAGAUAUUACACAGAACACCGAUUGCGAAGGCAGCUUACUGGGCCAUUACUGACGCUGAUGCACGAAAGCGUGGGGAUCGAACAG